GACGAACGCUGGCGGCGUGCCUAAUACAUGCAAGUAGAACGCUGAAGAGAGGAGCUUGCUCUUCUUGGAUGAGUUGCGAACGGGUGAGUAACGCGUAGGUAACCUGCCUUGUAGCGGGGGAUAACUAUUGGAAACGAUAGCUAAUACCGCAUAACAAUGGAUGACACAUGUCAUUUAUUUGAAAGGGGCAAUUGCUCCACUACAAGAUGGACCUGCGUUGUAUUAGCUAGUAGGUGAGGUAAUGGCUCACCUAGGCGACGAUACAUAGCCGACCUGAGAGGGUGAUCGGCCACACUGGGACUGAGGCACGGCCCAGACUCCUACGGGAGGCAGCAGUAGGGAAUCUUCGGCAAUGGGGGCAACCCUGACCGAGCAACGCCGCGUGAGUGAAGAAGGGUUUCGGAUCGUAAAGCUCUGUUGUAAGUCAAGAACGGGUGUGAGAGUGGAAAGUUCACACUGUGACGGUAGCUUACCAGAAAGGGACGGCUAACUACGUG
This 497-nucleotide ribosomal RNA is filed under the name uncultured bacterium. RNAcentral describes it as "partial 16S ribosomal RNA". It matches the Rfam family "Bacterial small subunit ribosomal RNA", at positions 28 to 507 of the family's 1533-position model. The record is from RNAcentral.